CAACCUGGAAAAACCAGGUGGACCAAGGAGGUGGACUCAGACACAACUUAUCACCCACAUACAAAGCACUUUUAGGAACAAUACCCAAAAGAUUCACCUCAGUUUCACAUAACAAAGAGGCCCCCUUGAGCCCACCCUUUUGACUUCAGUAUGACUCUACACAUCUAAGACAUUUUAUUAAGUAAAAAUAGCCGAAUUUGAGUAUUUCGCGAUCAACUACAGGUCAGAAAUCCUGGGUGAGGCAGUGGAGAGCUGUGAGAUUCAAUACAAACUGGGUCAUAUGACACAUGCCCGUUUUUGUCCCUCAGCAUAUCGCCAAUAUUUACAGAAAUGUACAGAAACUUUACAGAAAUAUUUGUUAUGCAGCAUGACUCUCUACAGUCUGUGUAAUGUCUUUAAUGUAUGUGCAAGAUAAUUGCUGAUCUUACAAGAAAGUGCAGAAAAAAGUCAGCAGGGAAGGCAGGCAAUACUCUGUCUCACCUCAAGGGGGUGCGCUGAUAUUAGAACGUUUGUAUAACGGGAUUAGGAAUGCAAUGUACGGCCCGACCUUCCGGUUGUGGAUCCGGCACAUGUGACACGAGUCUCUAAGAGUGGCUUCAUAAACCCAUCCUACUGCGGGGCCACGAGCGGUCCAUCAGUCAGAUCAAGUACAACGGAGAAGGAGACCUUCUGUUUCCGUUGCUAAAGAUCCAGUGGCCAAUGUGUGGUACGACUCGGCACCUACAACGGACACAUGGGAGCUGUGCCGUGCGUCGACUGUGACUGGGACACCAAAAAUGUUUUGACAGGAUCAGCUGAUGACAGUGGAACUGCGUGAUUGGAGGGUGAAAAGAAAAUGCCUGUGUUUACAUGGAUAGAUAGAAGUUUCUGAGUCCCUCUGGAGUUUCAGCAGCAGUACAGCACCAAAACAACAAUAAAAAACGCACAAAUAGGUCUGCCAUCAGAACACGCAGGUUCACGCAGGUUCUUAGCGGCAACAUCAUGUUUUCCACGAACUUGUUCGACCUGAGGGAUCCACAACAGAUGGUAUUCCUGAAGAAAGCUAAAGGAGCACAGCAGGUGCAUCAACAACAUCCAGAUUGGUCUCAACUGUGUGGCUUUCCACCCUGACAGCAAGAGCAAUGGAGAAGACUAGGACUCUGCCAGGUAGAGUGAAGGAGCAACUUUAUUUGAAGCAGAUCACUUGUUUGCUGGACUUGAGUAUUUUUACUGAAAUCUGUAAUUGCUUGAGGAAAGUGUUAUUCAGCUUAUUCCAC
Molecule: long non-coding RNA, 1256 nt
Organism: Cynoglossus semilaevis (tongue sole)
Lineage: Eukaryota; Metazoa; Chordata; Actinopteri; Pleuronectiformes; Cynoglossidae
Exons: 7
Source: RefSeq, a predicted model, not a curated record